This 328-nucleotide long non-coding RNA is filed under the name Nicotiana benthamiana. Its description in RNAcentral is "long non-coding RNA (NBEN_LNC003600)". Lineage: Eukaryota; Viridiplantae; Streptophyta; Magnoliopsida; Solanales; Solanaceae. The record is from RNAcentral.
GUUCUUUUUAUUAUUUCAAGAUUUUUUGUUGUUGCUUCUUCCUUAAUACUUUUAGAAUGUCACGGAAUUAAGGAGCGGCAUAACUUAAACAUAGACUUCGACACUAGUAAUAUGAAACCUCAUAUUGGUUUUCACAACAACAACUACUCAGUAUAUUCCCACCAGGUGAGGCCUGGGGAGGGUAAUAUGUAGACGAGCCUUACCCCUGUCCGAAAGGGCAGAGAGACUGUUUCCAGUCGACCCUCGGCGUAUAGGAUAAAAAAGGGAAAGCUGCAUUAAGAAACAAAGGUAAAAUUAGAAACACAAGCAAGACAAAACAAAAUAAUNN